GUGGGGUAAUUUUCCGCAAUGGGCGAAAGCCUGACGGAGCAAUGCCGCGUGGAGGUGGAAGGCCUACGGGUCGUCAACUUCUUUUCUCGGAGAAGAAACAAUGACGGUAUCUGAGGAAUAAGCAUCGGCUAACUCUGCGCCAG
RNAcentral lists this ribosomal RNA (143 nucleotides) under uncultured bacterium. RNAcentral's name for it is "partial 16S rRNA". It matches the Rfam family "Bacterial small subunit ribosomal RNA", at positions 353 to 511 of the family's 1533-position model. The record is from RNAcentral.